Molecule: ribosomal RNA, 510 nt
Filed under: uncultured bacterium
Lineage: Bacteria
Description: partial 16S ribosomal RNA
Rfam family: Bacterial small subunit ribosomal RNA
Source: RNAcentral
GACGAACGCUGGCGGCGUGCCUAAUACAUGCAAGUCGAGCGAAUGACGAGAAGCUUGCUUCUCUGAUUUAGCGGCGGACGGGUGAGUAACACGUGGGCAACCUGCCCUACAGAUCGGGAUAACUCAGGGAAACCUGGGCUAAUACCGGAUAAUCCUUCGAAUCACAUGUUUUGAAGUUGAAAGGCGCUUCGGCGUCACUGUAGGAUGGGCCCGCGGUGCAUUAGGUAGUUGGUGGGGUAACGGCCUACCAAGGCAACGAUGCAUAGCCGACCUGAGAGGGUGAUCGGCCACAUUGGGACUGAGACACGGCCCAAACUCCUACGGGAGGCAGCAGUAGGGGAUCUUCCACAAUGGACGAAAGUCUGUUGGAGCAACGCCGCGUGAGUGAUGAAGGUUUUCGGAUCGUAAAACUCUGUUGUAAGGGAAGAACAAGUACGUUAGGAAAUGAACGUACCUUGACGGUACCUUAUUAGAAAGCCACGGCUAACUACGUGCCAGCAGCCGCAGUAA